Molecule: ribosomal RNA, 484 nt
Filed under: uncultured bacterium
Lineage: Bacteria
Description: partial 16S ribosomal RNA
Rfam family: Bacterial small subunit ribosomal RNA
Source: RNAcentral
AUUGAACGCUGGCGGCAGGCCUAACACAUGCAAGUCGAGCGGAUGAAGGGAGCUUGCUCCUGGAUUCAGCGGCGGACGGGUGAGUAAUGCCUAGGAAUCUGCCUGGUAGUGGGGGAUAACGUCCGGAAACGGGCGCUAAUACCGCAUACGUCCUGAGGGAGAAAGUGGGGGAUCUUCGGACCUCACGCUAUCAGAUGAGCCUAGGUCGGAUUAGCUAGUUGGUGGGGUAAAGGCCUACCAAGGCGACGAUCCGUAACUGGUCUGAGAGGAUGAUCAGUCACACUGGAACUGAGACACGGUCCAGACUCCUACGGGAGGCAGCAGUGGGGAAUAUUGGACGAUGGGCGAAUGCCUGAUCCAGCCAUGCCGCGUGUGUGCAGAAGGUCUUCGGAUUGUAAAGCACUUUAAGUUGGGAGGAAGGGCAGUAAGUUAAUACCUUGCUGUUUUGACGUUACCAACAGAAUAAGCACCGGCUAACUUCGUG